CCUACGGGUGGCAGCAGUGGGGAAUAUUGGGCAAUGGGCGCAAGCCUGACCCAGCAACGCCGCGUGAAGGAAGAAGGCUUUCGGGUUGUAAACUUCUUUUGACAGGGAAGAGCAGAAGACGGUACCUGUCGAAUAAGCCACGGCUAACUACGUGCCAGCAGCCGCGGUAAUACGUAGGUGGCAAGCGUUGUCCGGAUUUACUGGGGGUAAAGGGCGGGUAGCCGGGCUGACAAGUCAGAUGUGAAAUCCGGGGGCUCAACCCCCGAACUGCAUUUGAAACUUGUGGUCUUGAGUAUCGGAGAGGCAGGCGGAAUUCCUAGUGUAGCGGUGAAAUGCGUAGAUAUUAGGAGGA
Molecule: ribosomal RNA, 352 nt
Filed under: uncultured bacterium
Lineage: Bacteria
Description: partial 16S ribosomal RNA
Rfam family: Bacterial small subunit ribosomal RNA
Source: RNAcentral